CCAAUAGCGUAUAUUAAAGUUGUUGCAGUUAAAAAGCUCGUAGUUGAAUUUCGGGAUCAGUACGCUGGUCGUGCCUUCGGUAUGUACUGGUGUCACUGAUUCCUCCCUUCUGACGAACCGUUAUGCCAUUUAUUUGGUGUGGCGGGGAAUCAGGACUGUUACUUUGAAAAAAUUAGAGUGUUUAAAGCAGGCUCGCGCUUGAAUACAUUAGCAUGGAAUAAUGAAAUAGGACGUUUGAUUCUAUUUUGUUGGUUUCUAGGAUCGACGUAAUGAUUAAUAGGGAUAGUUGGGGGCAUUAGUAUUCAAUUGUCAGAGGUGAAAUUCCUGGAUUUAUUGAAGACUAACUACUGCGAAAGCAUUUGCCAAGGAUGUUUUCAUUAAUCAAGAACGAAAGUUAGGGGAUCGAAGACGAUCAGAUACCGUCGUAGUCUUAACCAUAAACUAUGCCGACUAGGGAUCGGAUGAUGUUAAUUUUUUAAUGACUCAUUCGGCGCCUUACG
This 500-nucleotide ribosomal RNA is filed under the name uncultured Glomeromycotina. RNAcentral describes it as "partial small subunit ribosomal RNA". It matches the Rfam family "Eukaryotic small subunit ribosomal RNA", at positions 591 to 1092 of the family's 1831-position model. Lineage: Eukaryota; Fungi; Glomeromycota. The record is from RNAcentral.